This 417-nucleotide ribosomal RNA is filed under the name Triticum aestivum (bread wheat). RNAcentral's name for it is "partial small subunit ribosomal RNA". Lineage: Eukaryota; Viridiplantae; Streptophyta; Magnoliopsida; Poales; Poaceae. The record is from RNAcentral.
AUGCGGCACCGGAGGUGGAGCCACGUCGCACAGCUCCUGGUCCACGCCGCACCGGAGGUGGAGCCAUGCCACGCAGCUCCUGGCCCACGCCACCCAGCUCCUGGUCCACGCCACGCCGGAUGUGGAGACAGGCCAAUUCCGACGCGCAGCUCAGCAAGGGCCUCGCCGUUCUGCUCGUGCUCCGACUCUCUAGGCGCGCUCGCGAGGGACGUUUGCCACGGUGUCGUUGGAUUUCAUCUAGAUGCAGAGCACUCGGGGGCCGGCGACGAGCUCCGUCCAUCCAGAGCACCCAUGGUGACGUCUACGGCUAGCAGACGAGGGAUGGGGCCGCGGGAGGCACACCGUUGCUCGCUGGUCGCCGCUCUUCGGGCGCCCAGAAGGUGCUCGACGAAAUGCCCCACAGAAAUAGUGAUAUGA